Molecule: ribosomal RNA, 494 nt
Filed under: uncultured bacterium
Lineage: Bacteria
Description: partial 16S ribosomal RNA
Rfam family: Bacterial small subunit ribosomal RNA
Source: RNAcentral
GACGAACGCUGGCGGCGUGCUUAACACAUGCAAGUCGAACGGUGACACGCCUUCCUUUUUGGUGGGUGUGGAGGGGUGGCGGACGGGUGAGUAACACGUUAGUAACCUGCCCCCUUGUUCUGGAUAACCGAGUGAAAGUUUGGCUAAUACGGGAUAUUCUGGGUCUGUCGCAUGAUGGGUUUGGCGAAGCUAUCGCGUCUGUGUGGGACGGGCUCGCGGCCUAUCAGCUUGUUGGUGUGGGGAUGGCCUACCAAGGCGGUGACGGGUGGCCGGGAUGAGAGGGUGAGCGGCCACAGAGCGACGGCGACGCGGCGCCGACUACGGCGGGAGGCAGCGGGGAGGAUUAUUGCACGAGCGGAGCCAUCCUGCUGCAGCGCCGCCGCGGGGGGGAUGGAGGCCUGCUUGUUGUGACCCUCUGUCGGGAGUGAAGCAGACCUGCCUCGUUUGUGGGUGGGUUGACGGUAGCUGGAGAAGAAGCGCCGGCUAACUACGUG